AGAGUUUGAUUCUGGCUCAGAACGAACGCUGGCGGCAGGUCUUAGGCAUGCAAGUCGAACGGAUGACAAGGGAGCUUGCUUCCUUGAAGUCAGUGGCGCACGAGUGAGUAACGCGUGGGAAACUGCCCUUCACUGGGGAAUAACGUUUGGAAACGAACGCUAAUACCGCAUACGCCCGCAAGGGGAAAGAUUUAUCGGUGAUGGAUGUGCCCGCGUUGGAUUAGCUAGUUGGUGGGGUAAUGGCCUACCAAGGCGAUGAUCCAUAGCUGGUCUGAGAGGACGAUCAGCCACGCUGGAACUGAGACACGGUCCAGACUCCUACGGGAGGCAGCAGCUAAGAAUAUUGGGCAAUGGAGGAAACUCUGACCCAGCCCAUGCCGCGUGAAUGAAGAAGGCCUUCGGGUUGUAAAGUUCUUUUAGUCAUGAAGAUGAUGACAGUAGUGACAGAAAAAGCACCGGCUAACUUCGUGCCAGCAGCGGC
This 481-nucleotide ribosomal RNA is filed under the name uncultured bacterium. RNAcentral's name for it is "bacterial SSU rRNA". It matches the Rfam family "Bacterial small subunit ribosomal RNA", at positions 8 to 518 of the family's 1533-position model. The record is from RNAcentral.